RNAcentral lists this ribosomal RNA (339 nucleotides) under Triticum aestivum (bread wheat). RNAcentral's name for it is "partial small subunit ribosomal RNA". The record is from RNAcentral. Lineage: Eukaryota; Viridiplantae; Streptophyta; Magnoliopsida; Poales; Poaceae.
AUGCUGGUAUAUUUCCAGAAUCAUAACAAGGACGUAGUUCUUGCUACAGUUCUAAGUUAUGAUCCCGAAUUUAAACUUAAUGGUGCUGAAAUUAAAAUGCAUUUUGGGCAGUGUAAUACAAAACUUGCGAAAGCUGAAGAUUUGGUACAGAUUCGCAAAAACUGCAAUACUAAUGGUAAUGCAGAAAAAAUAUAUUGCAUGGCCCUCAACGUUUGUACGUGUCUAAUAUCCUGCCUUUAUCACUACUUGUAUCAUGUCAAUGCAUUAUGUGUUAAUAGUUCAUUUUGUUAUUUUUGUUGUAGAUUGAAAAGAUAUAUGGAUGAUUAUAUGGGUGCGUAA